GCGAAAAGAACCCCGGCGAGGGGAGUGAAAAAGAACCUGAAACCGUGUACGUACAAGCAGUGGGAGCACCCUUUGGGGUGUGACUGCGUACCUUUUGUAUAAUGGGUCAGCGACUUAUAUUCUGUAGCAAGGUUAACCGAAUAGGGGAGCCGGAGGGAAACCGAGUCUUAACCGGGCGUUAAGUUGCAGGGUAUAGACCCGAAACCCGGUGAUCUAGCCAUGGGCAGGUUGAAGGUUGGGUAACACUAACUGGAGGACCGAACCGACUAAUGUUGAAAAAUUAGCGGAUGACCUGUGGCUGGGGGUGAAAGGCCAAUCAAACCGGGAGAUAGCUGGUUCUCCCCGAAAGCUAUUUAGGUAGCGCCUCGUGAAUUCAUCUCCGGGGGUAGAGCACUGUUUCGGCUAGGGGGCCAUCCCGGCUUACCAACCCGAUGCAAACUGCGAAUACCGGAGAAUGUUAUCACGGGAGACACACGGCGGGUGCUAACGUCCGUCGUGAAGAGGGAAACAACCCAGACCGCCAGCUAAGGUCCCAAAGUCAUGGUUAAGUGGGAAACGAUGUGGGAAGGCCCAGACAGCCAGGAUGUUGGCUUAGAAGCAGCCAUCAUUUAAAGAAAGCGUAAUAGCUCACUGGUCGAGUCGGCCUGCGCGGAAGAUGUAACGGGGCUAAACCAUGCACCGAAGCUGCGGCAGCGACGCUGAUGCGUUGUUGGGUAGGGGAGCGUUCUGUAAGCCUGCGAAGGUGUGUCGUGAGGCAUGCUGGAGGUAUCAGAAGUGCGAAUGCUGACAUAAGUAACGAUAAAGCGGGUGAAAAGCCCGCUCGCCGGAAGACCAAGGGUUCCUGUCCAACGUUAAUCGGGGCAGGGUGAGUCGACCCCUAAGGCGAGGCCGAAAGGCGUAGUCGAUGGGAAACGGGUUAAUAUUCCCGUACUUGGUGUUACUGCGAAGGGGGGACGGAGAAGGCUAUGUUGGCCGGGCGACGGUUGUCCCGGUUUAAGCGUGUAGGUGUGUGUUCCAGGUAAAUCCGGUUCACUUUAACACUGAGGCGUGAUGACGAGGCACUACGGUGCUGAAGCAACAAAUGCCCUGCUUCCAGGAAAAGCCUCUAAGCAUCAGGUAACAUCAAAUCGUACCCCAAACCGACACAGGUGGUCAGGUAGAGAAUACCAAGGCGCUUGAGAGAACUCGGGUGAAGGAACUAGGCAAAAUGGUGCCGUAACUUCGGGAGAAGGCACGCUGACACGUAGGUGAAGUGAUUUACUCAUGGAGCUGAAGUCAGUCGAAGAUACCAGCUGGCUGCAACUGUUUAUUAAAAACACAGCACUGUGCAAACACGAAAGUGGACGUAUACGGUGUGACGCCUGCCCGGUGCCGGAAGGUUAAUUGAUGGGGUCAGCGCAAGCGAAGCUCCUGAUCGAAGCCCCGGUAAACGGCGGCCGUAACUAUAACGGUCCUAAGGUAGCGAAAUUCCUUGUCGGGUAAGUUCCGACCUGCACGAAUGGCGUAAUGAUGGCCAGGCUGUCUCCACCCGAGACUCAGUGAAAUUGAACUCGCUGUGAAGAUGCAGUGUACCCGCGGCAAGACGGAAAGACCCCGUGAACCUUUACUAUAGCUUGACACUGAACAUUGAGCCUUGAUGUGUAGGAUAGGUGGGAGGCUUUGAAGUGUGGACGCCAGUCUGCAUGGAGCCGGCCUUGAAAUACCACCCUUUAAUGUUUGAUGUUCUAACGUGGACCCGUGAUCCGGGUUGCGGACAGUGUCUGGUGGGUAGUUUGACUGGGGCGGUCUCCUCCUAAAGAGUAACGGAGGAGCACGAAGGUUGGCUAAUCCUGGUCGGACAUCAGGAGGUUAGUGCAAUGGCAUAAGCCAGCUUGACUGCGAGCGUGACGGCGCGAGCAGGUGCGAAAGCAGGUCAUAGUGAUCCGGUGGUUCUGAAUGGAAGGGCCAUCGCUCAACGGAUAAAAGGUACUCCGGGGAUAACAGGCUGAUACCGCCCAAGAGUUCAUAUCGACGGCGGUGUUUGGCACCUCGAUGUCGGCUCAUCACAUCCUGGGGCUGAAGUAGGUCCCAAGGGUAUGGCUGUUCGCCAUUUAAAGUGGUACGCGAGCUGGGUUUAGAACGUCGUGAGACAGUUCGGUCCCUAUCUGCCGUGGGCGCUGGAGAACUGAGGGGGGCUGCUCCUAGUACGAGAGGACCGGAGUGGACGCAUCACUGGUGUUCGGGUUGUCAUGCCAAUGGCACUGCCCGGUAGCUAAAUGCGGAAGAGAUAAGUGCUGAAAGCAUCUAAGCACGAAACUUGCCCCGAGAUGAGUUCUCCCUGAGACUUAGAGUCUCCUGAAGGAACGUUGAAGACGACGACGUUGAUAGGCCGGGUGUGUAAGCGCAGCGAUGCGUUGAGCUAACCGGUACUAAUGAACCGUGAGGCUUAACCUUACAACGCCGAAG
RNAcentral lists this ribosomal RNA (2445 nucleotides) under Salmonella enterica. Its description in RNAcentral is "partial 23S ribosomal RNA". It matches the Rfam family "Bacterial large subunit ribosomal RNA", at positions 514 to 2925 of the family's 2925-position model. Lineage: Bacteria; Pseudomonadati; Pseudomonadota; Gammaproteobacteria; Enterobacterales; Enterobacteriaceae. The record is from RNAcentral.